Molecule: ribosomal RNA, 203 nt
Filed under: uncultured bacterium
Lineage: Bacteria
Description: partial 16S ribosomal RNA
Rfam family: Bacterial small subunit ribosomal RNA
Source: RNAcentral
UGUAGUCUGCAACCCGACUACAUGAAGCUGGAAUCGCUAGUAAUCGCGAAUCAGAAUGUCGCGGUGAAUACGUUCCCGGGUCUUGUACACACCGCCCGUCACACCAUGGGAGUCGGAAAUGCCCGAAGUCAGUGACCUAACCGAAAGGGAGGAGCUGCCGAAGGUGGAGCCGGUAACUGGGGUGGAAGUCGUAACAAGGUACC